This 253-nucleotide ribosomal RNA is filed under the name uncultured bacterium. RNAcentral's name for it is "partial 16S ribosomal RNA". It matches the Rfam family "Bacterial small subunit ribosomal RNA", at positions 524 to 776 of the family's 1533-position model. The record is from RNAcentral.
UACGUAGGGUGCGAGCGUUAAUCGGAAUUACUGGGCGUAAAGUGUGCGCAGGCGGCCGCGCAAGUCGAGUGUGAAAUCCCCGAGCUUAACUUGGGAAUUGCGCUCGAAACUACGUGGCUGGAGUGUGGCAGAGGAAGGUGGAAUUCCACGUGUAGCGGUGAAAUGCGUAGAUAUGACAUAGAACACCAAUUGCGAAGGCAGCUCACUACGGGGUCAUUGACACUGAGGCACGAAAGCGUGGGGAUCAAACAGG